Molecule: unclassified non-coding RNA, 247 nt
Filed under: fungal sp.
Lineage: Eukaryota; Fungi
Also listed under: 1 other name
Description: partial internal transcribed spacer region
Rfam family: Eukaryotic small subunit ribosomal RNA (bases 1-46)
Source: RNAcentral
AAGUCGUAACAAGGUUUCCGUAGGUGAACCUGCGGAAGGAUCAUUAACACUAAUGAAAUCCAAAACCUUUUGGAUCAACCCAACCUUAGCGAACCGUUCGUAUUUUCCCUUUGCCAUUCUAUUUAUCAAACGCAAAACAAUCUGAAGUAAAGUGUCUGAUUCUUUUUCCCGUGCUCCUCAUUCAAGGGGGGCCUGGAAUCAAAAAUCUAACGCAAUACAACUCUUAACAACGGAUAUCUUGGCUCUC